RNAcentral lists this ribosomal RNA (552 nucleotides) under uncultured marine picoplankton. RNAcentral's name for it is "SSU rRNA". It matches the Rfam family "Eukaryotic small subunit ribosomal RNA", at positions 598 to 1156 of the family's 1831-position model. The record is from RNAcentral.
CGUAUAUAAAGUUGUUGCGGUUAAAAAGCUCGUAGUUGGAUUUCUGUUGAGGAUGGCCGGUCCGCACUAUGUGCGUGUAUCUGGUUCAGCCUCGGCAUCCUCUCGAAAGCCGUUGCUGCGCUUGAUUGCGUGGCUCGGAAUUCGGGACUUUUACUUUGAGGAAAUUAGAGUGUUCACGGCAGGCAAGCGCCUUGAAUAUAUUAGCAUGGAAUAAUGUUAUAGGAUUUUGGUCCUAUUUUGUUGGUUUCUAGGGCUGAAAUAAUGAUUAAUAGGGACAAUUGGGGGCAUUCGUAUUAACGCGUCAGAGGUGGAAUUCUUGGAUUGCGUUACGACGAACUACUGCGAAAGCAUUUGCCAAGGAUGUUUUCAUUGAUCAAGAACGAAAGUAAGGGGAUCGAAGAUGAUUAGAUACCGUCGUAGUCUUUACCAUAAACUAUGCCAACUAGAGAUGGGGCGUCGUUCAUUUAUGACUCGCUCCGCAUCUUAUGAGAAAUCAAAGUCUUUGGGUUCCGGGGGGAGUAUGGUCGCAAGGCUGAAGCUUAAAGGAAUUGA